AACGUAGGACGCAAGCGUUAUCCGGAUUUACUGGGCGUAAAGCGCGGGCAGGCGGCUCUGUAAGUCUGAUGUGAAAGCGCCCGGCUCAACCGGGCGAGGCCAUUGGAAACUACAGAGCUGGAGGGCAGUAGAGGCAGGCGGAAUUCCGGGUGGAGUGGUGAAAUGCGUAGAGAUCCGGAGGAACACCAGAGGCGAAGGCGGCCUGCUGGGCUGCACCUGACGCUGAGCCGCGAAAGCCAGGGGAGCGAACGGG
RNAcentral lists this ribosomal RNA (253 nucleotides) under uncultured bacterium. RNAcentral describes it as "partial 16S ribosomal RNA". It matches the Rfam family "Bacterial small subunit ribosomal RNA", at positions 524 to 776 of the family's 1533-position model. The record is from RNAcentral.